This 94-nucleotide small nucleolar RNA is filed under the name Capsicum annuum. RNAcentral's name for it is "Plant small nucleolar RNA R71". It matches the Rfam family "Plant small nucleolar RNA R71". From Rfam's summary of the family: R71 is a member of the C/D box family of snoRNAs containing the C (UGAUGA) and D (CUGA) box motifs. Lineage: Eukaryota; Viridiplantae; Streptophyta; Magnoliopsida; Solanales; Solanaceae. The record is from Rfam by way of RNAcentral.
UGAUGAUGAUGAGGGAAAUCCUUGAAUCUUUCCCAAGAUUGGUAAAAUUCUCUCCAUCUUUCUUCUUGAAACUUAGAAUCUCACUUCUCAAAUA